AACGCACAUUGCGCCCUUUAGUAUUCUGAGGGGCAUGCCUGUUCGAGCGUCAUUAUCACUAAUCAAGCCCGGCUUGCUGUUGGACCUCUUUGCCGUUAAUAGGCAGGUCCUAAAGAUAAUGACGGUGUCAUUUAGACCCUAGGUGCAACGAGCUUUAACUAGCACGCAUUUUUAGUUGGUCUUUUUGACCCGGUCUUUUUUAACCACUUUUUAAGGUUGACCUCGGAUCAGGUAGGAAUACCCGCUGAACUUAA
RNAcentral lists this unclassified non-coding RNA (254 nucleotides) under Epithamnolia sp. Its description in RNAcentral is "partial contains 5.8S ribosomal RNA, internal transcribed spacer 2, and large subunit ribosomal RNA". The record is from RNAcentral. Lineage: Eukaryota; Fungi; Ascomycota; Leotiomycetes; Phacidiales.